Molecule: ribosomal RNA, 690 nt
Filed under: uncultured low G+C Gram-positive bacterium
Lineage: Bacteria; Bacillati; Bacillota
Description: bacterial SSU rRNA
Rfam family: Bacterial small subunit ribosomal RNA
Source: RNAcentral
GCAUGCAUAAAGAGUUUAAAGCCGCUUUCGGUGUCCCUGAUGGAUGGACCCCCCGGUGCAUUAGCUAAUUGGUGAGGUAACGGCUCACCAAGGCCACGAUGCAUACCGACCUGAGGAGGGUGAUCGCCACACUGGGACUGAGGACACGGCCCAGACUCCUACGGGAGGCACAGUAGGGAAUCCUCGGCAAUGGACGAAAGUCUGACCGAGCAACGCCGCGUGAUGAAGAAGGUUUUCGGAUCGUAAAACUCUGUUGUUAGAGAAGACAAGGACGUUAGUAACUGAACGUCCCCUGACGGUAUCUAACCAGAAAGCCACGGCUAACUACGUGCCAGCAGCCGCGGUAAUACGUAGGUGGCAAGCGUUGUCCGGAUUUAUUGGGCGUAAAGCGAGCGCAGGCGGUUUCUUAAGUCUGAUGUGAAAGCCCCCGGCUCAACCGGGGAGGGUCAUUGGAAACUGGGAGACUUGAGUGCAGAAGAGGAGAGUGGAAUUCCAUGUGUAGCGGUGAAAUGCGUAGAUAUAUGGAGGAACACCAGUGGCGAAGGCGGCUCUCUGGUCUGUAACUGACGCUGAGGCUCGAAAGCGUGGGGAGCAAACAGGAUUAGAUACCCUGGUAGUCCACGCCGUCCCACCGAUGAGUGCUAAUUGUUGGAGGUUUCCGCCCUUCAGUGCUGCAGCAACGUCAUUAAG